RNAcentral lists this small RNA (377 nucleotides) under Histoplasma capsulatum var. duboisii H88. Its description in RNAcentral is "Histoplasma capsulatum H88 hypothetical RNA". Lineage: Eukaryota; Fungi; Ascomycota; Eurotiomycetes; Onygenales; Ajellomycetaceae. The record is from RNAcentral.
UGCACGACGGUUUGAGCCAGCGUCCAUAUUCUGCUCAACUCGAUAUCGUCUGAGAACACCUAACAAUUCUCCAUUCAGGCAAGUCACGGAGUUAUUUAAGAGGAAAUAUAAUUGAGGUAUGCAAGUUGCCAGAAUCAUGCGAGUGGUGAAGGGAGAUAGGCAACAGACCAGUUGAGCCUUGAUUCCCGAAUAUAUAUUCCAGUGGAGAUAAUAUGAUUCCUUGUCACUCGUUAGUUAUUUAUAUCUGGCCGUUGAUGGGUGUAACAUUGACCCAGCGGCAAAGCCCCUUUUUUCUGUAUUAUUUAUUUCCUUUCAUUGUAAAUAUGCGCACCGCACUGUGGCCUGCAGCAAACACAAGAAAAAGAAAACACAAGGCA